UACGUAUGGUGCAAGCGUUAUCCGGAAUGACUGGGUGUAAAGAGAGCGUAGACGGUUGUUCAAGUCUGAUGUGAAAGCCCUCGGCUUAACUGGGGGAGUGCAUUGGAAACUGAAGGACUAGAGUAUCGGAGAGGCAAGUGGAAUUCCUAGUGUAGCGGUGAAAUGCGUAGAUAUUAGGAGGAACACCGGUGGCGAAGGCGGCCUGCUGGACUGUGACUGACGUUGAGGCCCGAAGGCGUGGGGAGCAAACAGG
Molecule: ribosomal RNA, 253 nt
Filed under: uncultured bacterium
Lineage: Bacteria
Description: partial 16S ribosomal RNA
Rfam family: Bacterial small subunit ribosomal RNA
Source: RNAcentral